RNAcentral lists this ribosomal RNA (253 nucleotides) under uncultured bacterium. RNAcentral's name for it is "partial 16S ribosomal RNA". It matches the Rfam family "Bacterial small subunit ribosomal RNA", at positions 524 to 776 of the family's 1533-position model. The record is from RNAcentral.
UACAGAGGGUGCGAGCGUUAAUCGGAAUUACUGGGCGUAAAGGGUGCGUAGGUAGGAGUUUAAGUCAUAUGUGAAAGCCCUAGGCUUAACUUAGGAAUGGCAUAUGAAACUGGGCGACUAGAGUAGAGUAGAGGGAAGUGGAAUUUCCGGUGUAGCGGUGAAAUGCGUAGAUAUCGGAAGGAACACCGGUGGCGAAGGCGGCUUUCUGGACUCAUACUGACACUGAGGCACGAGAGCGUGGGGAGCAAACAGG